UAGGGAAUCUUCCACAAUGGACGCAAGUCUGAUGGAGCAACGCCGCGUGAGUGAAGAAGGUUUUCGGAUCGUAAAGCUCUGUUGUUGGUGAAGAAGGAUAGAGGCAGUAACUGGUCUUUAUUUGACGGUAAUCAACCAGAAAGUCACGGCUAACUACGUGCCGCAGCCGCGGUAAUACGUAGGUGGCAAGCGUUGUCCGGAUUUAUUGGGCGUAAAGCGAGCGCAGGCGGAAUGAUAAGUCUGAUGUGAAAGCCCACGGCUCAACCGUGGAACUGCAUCGGAAACUGUCAUUCUUGAGUGCAGAAGAGGAGAGUAGAAUUCCAUGUGUAGCGGUGGAGUGCGUAGAUAUAUGGAAGAACACCAGUGGCGGAGGCGGCUCUCUGGUCUGCAACUGACGCUGAGGCUCGAAAGCAUGGGUAGCGAACAGG
This 428-nucleotide ribosomal RNA is filed under the name bacterium. RNAcentral's name for it is "partial 16S ribosomal RNA". It matches the Rfam family "Bacterial small subunit ribosomal RNA", at positions 355 to 776 of the family's 1533-position model. The record is from RNAcentral.